Molecule: ribosomal RNA, 253 nt
Filed under: uncultured bacterium
Lineage: Bacteria
Description: partial 16S ribosomal RNA
Rfam family: Bacterial small subunit ribosomal RNA
Source: RNAcentral
UACGGAGGGCGCGAGCGUUAAUCGGAAUUACUGGGCGUAAAGCGCGCGUAGGCUGUUGAGUAAGUUGGGGGUGAAAUCCCACGGCUCAACCGUGGAACAGCCCUUGAUACUGCGCGACUUGAAUCCGGGAGAGGGUGGCGGAAUUCCAGGUGUAGGAGCGAAAUCCGUAGAUAUAUGGAGGAACACCGGUGGCGAAAGCGGCUCUCUGGCCUGUAACUGACACUGAGGCUCGAAAGCGUGGGGAGCAAACAGG